RNAcentral lists this unclassified non-coding RNA (377 nucleotides) under uncultured Alphaproteobacteria bacterium. RNAcentral describes it as "contains 16S-23S intergenic spacer region". The record is from RNAcentral. Lineage: Bacteria; Pseudomonadati; Pseudomonadota; Alphaproteobacteria.
UCCGGUUUGUCACCGGCAGUCUCGCAUGAGUCCCCGGCCGAACCGCUGGCAACAUGCGACGGGGUUUGCGCUCGUUGCGGGACUUAACCCAGCAUCUCACGACACGAGCUGACGACAGCCAUGCAGCACCUGUGUCCCGGUCCCCGAAGGGAACCCUAGAUCUCUCUAGGUAGCCGGGCAUGUCAAAGGUUGGUAAGGUUCUGCGCGUUGCUUCGAAUUAAACCACAUGCUCCACCGCUUGUGCGGGCCCCCGUCAAUUUCUUUGAGUUUUAAUCUUGCGACCGUACUCCCCAGGCGGAUAACUUAAUGCGUUAGCUGCGCCACCAAAAGCCUAAGGCCCCUGACAGCUAGUUAUCAUCGUUUACGGCGUGGACUAC